GUCACUUUGCAUAAGUUCAGUCACAACAUAGCUGAACGUUGGGAGAUUAAGGUUGAAAACUAAAAUAUUAAUGAACACUAGGUCAACAAUGCUGUUAUACUUCAGAUGUAGCUUCUAUGUUCAGAAAGGUGUGGUUGAACUGCAGCGUCAGCAGCCUCCUGGUCUCCAAAGCCCCAAUACUGAGGACUCUUUUAUGCAGAAGAAAACUGAGCCACUUUGCUACAUCUGACAUUUUAAUUUUUCAACAUGAAUUUGUAAAAAUACAACUUUGUCCAUCUCAAAUAUUUCCAAGGCUUUUUGGCUUAUUUUGAAUCCAACGUACAGGGUUUUAAUUUCUGCAGUCAAGCACAGACCAAUCUAUUAUAGCAAAUAGCUAACUGCCCACAUCUCUAUCUUGCAAUAGAGAAGGACAGAAAGCAAUAAUUUAAGCAGGUAAACACAAUAAAAAAAAACAAUCUGUAGAGAUUUAUCAGUUAACAACUGAUAGCCAAACAUGUCUUGUAACUGUUGUAUGUAGAUGACAUUUUAUGAAAGGUUAGAUACUGCAACUAUACUUUGUUUCUUUUGCCAUGGCAUAUGUGCUUUUUAAAUAAUAUUUAAACUUU
Molecule: long non-coding RNA, 605 nt
Organism: Xiphophorus hellerii (green swordtail)
Lineage: Eukaryota; Metazoa; Chordata; Actinopteri; Cyprinodontiformes; Poeciliidae
Exons: 2
Source: RefSeq, a predicted model, not a curated record